ACAAGAAAGGGCUCCACUAUCCAGGCCAGACUGGCUGUGAACUUGGGACUCUCCUGCUUUGCUAGGGCUCUCAAGUGCAUACAAUCCUGUCCAAAUCGGUUUCUCUGUGUGCCAUCUGGCACGUAAUGAGAGCUUCGGUCACGCCUUAGGUGCCAUGUUAAAUGCCUUUCCUCCAGAACCAUACACAGUUCUGUAUACAUUGGCCAUUGCUGCUUCCUCUGCACUUGAGAGAUCAAGAUGCAAAAACUCUCAGCUCCUUCUCCAACAGGAUGUCUGCCUGCACACUGCCAUGUUGCCCACUGUGAUGAUAAUGGACUGAACCUCUGAACUCCCUCAGGUUCUGUGAGCUAUCUGAUAUUCUAAACAUACACCUUGUAUGCUGGAUCAUUUGUCAGUUUGACACAGCUAAAGUCAUCUGAGAGGAGGGAACCUCAACUGAGAAAAUGCCUCCAUCAUCCAUUGGGCUGUAGGUAAGCCUGUAGGGCAUUUUAUUAAUUAAUGAUUGAUAGGGGAGGGCCCAGCCCAUUAUGGGUGGGGCCAUCUCUGGGUUGGUGGUUCUGGGUUCUAUAAGAAAUUAGGCUGAGCAAGCCAAUAAACAGUACCCCUCCAUAGCCUCUGCAUCAGCGUUUUCAGAUUCCUGCCCUCACUGCUUUGGAUGAUUACACUAGUA
Peromyscus californicus insignis is the source of this 670-nucleotide long non-coding RNA. RefSeq lists it as uncharacterized. NCBI's taxonomy places the organism in Eukaryota, Metazoa, Chordata, Mammalia, Rodentia, Cricetidae. The record is from RefSeq and is a predicted model, not a curated record. The transcript is spliced from 3 exons.